GAUGAACGCUGGCGGCGUGCCUAAUACAUGCAAGUCGAGCGAACAGAUGAGGAGCUUGCUCCUCUGACGUUAGCGGCGGACGGGUGAGUAACACGUGGAUAACCUACCUAUAAGACUGGGAUAACUUCGGGAAACCGGAGCUAAUACCGGAUAAUAUAUUGAACCGCAUGGUUCAAUAGUGAAAGACGGUUUUGCUGUCACUUAUAGAUGGAUCCGCGCCGCAUUAGCUAGUUGGUAAGGUAACGGCUUACCAAGGCAACGAUGCGUAGCCGACCUGAGAGGGUGAUCGGCCAAACUGGAACUGAGACACGGUCCAGACUCCUACGGGAGGCAGCAGUAGGGAAUCUUCCGCAAUGGGCGAAAGACUGACGGAGCAACGCCGCGUGAGUGAUGAAGGUCUUCGGAUCGUAAAACUCUGUUAUUAGGGAAGAACAAAUGUGUAAGUAACUAUGCACGUCUUGACGGUACCUAAUCAGAAAGCCACGGCUAACUACGUG
RNAcentral lists this ribosomal RNA (497 nucleotides) under uncultured bacterium. Its description in RNAcentral is "partial 16S ribosomal RNA". It matches the Rfam family "Bacterial small subunit ribosomal RNA", at positions 28 to 507 of the family's 1533-position model. The record is from RNAcentral.